ACUGCUCAGUAACACGUGGAUAACCCGCCCUUGGGUCCGGCAUAACCCCGGGAAACUGGGGAUAAUUCCGGAUAACGCAUAUGUGCUGGAAUGCUUUAUGCGUCAAAUGGAUUCGUCCGCCCAAGGAUGGGUCUGCGGCCUAUCAGGUAGUAGUGGGUGUAAUGUACCUACUAGCCAGCGACGGGUACGGGUUGUGAGAGCAAGAGCCCGGAGAUGGAUUCUGAGACAUGAAUCCAGGCCCUACGGGGCGCAGCAGGCGCGAAAACUUUACAAUGCGGGAAACCGUGAUAAGGGGACACCGAGUGUCAGCAUCAUAUGCUGGCUGUCCAGGUGUGUAAAAUACACCUGUUAGCAAGGGCCGGGCAAGACCGGUGCCAGCCGCCGCGGUAACACCGGCGGCCCGAGUGGUGAUCGUGAUUAUUGGGUCUAAAGGGUCCGUAGCCGGUUUGGUCAGUCCUCCGGGAAAUCUGAUAGCUCAACUAUUAGGCUAUCGGGGGAUACUACCAGGCUUGGAACCGGGAGAGGUAAGAGGUACUACAGGGGUAGGAGUGAAAUCUUGUAAUCCCUGUGGGACCACCUGUGGCGAAGGCGUCUUACCAGAACGGGUUCGACGGUGAGGGACGAAAGCUGGGGGCACGAACCGGAUUAGAUACCCGGGUAGUCCCAGCCGUAAACGAUGCUCGCUAGGUGUCAGGCAUGGCGCGACCGUGUCUGGUGCCGCAGGGAAGCCGUGAAGCGAGCCACCUGGGAAGUACGGUCGCAAGGCUGAAACUUAAAGGAAUUGGCGGGGGAGA
RNAcentral lists this ribosomal RNA (794 nucleotides) under uncultured archaeon. Its description in RNAcentral is "bacterial SSU rRNA". It matches the Rfam family "Archaeal small subunit ribosomal RNA", at positions 85 to 877 of the family's 1478-position model. The record is from RNAcentral.